Molecule: ribosomal RNA, 373 nt
Filed under: uncultured bacterium
Lineage: Bacteria
Description: bacterial SSU rRNA
Rfam family: Bacterial small subunit ribosomal RNA
Source: RNAcentral
ACGGAGGGUGCGAGCGUUAAUCGGAAUUACUGGGCGUAAAGCGCACGUAGGCGGUCAGAUAAGUCGGAUGUGAAAGCCCUGGGCUUAACCUGGGAACUGCAUUCGAUACUGUCUGGCUAGAGUAUGGGAGAGGGAAGCAGAAUUUCCGGUGUAGCGGUGAAAUGCGUAGAUAUCGGAAGGAAUACCAAUGGCGAAGGCAGCUUCCUGGCCCAAUACUGACGCUCAGGUGCGAAAGCGUGGGGAUCAAACAGGAUUAGAUACCCUGGUAGUCCACGCCGUAAACGAUGAGAACUAGAUGUUGGGAGGGUUUUGCCUCUCAGUGUCGCAGCUAACGCGCUAAGUUCUCCGCCUGGGGAGUACGGCCGCAAGGUUG